Molecule: long non-coding RNA, 670 nt
Organism: Nycticebus coucang (slow loris)
Lineage: Eukaryota; Metazoa; Chordata; Mammalia; Primates; Lorisidae
Exons: 4
Source: RefSeq, a predicted model, not a curated record
UAGCAACUUCAGUUACGGUUUGGAGAGGCAAGGCUGGGGCUGGAGAGAAGGGUGGGAGGUCUGCCCACUGCCCUCAGAAGAACUCACUCCACCCUCCAGCCUCCACAAUAAGCUGGAUUCUCCCGUGCCCAGGGCCAACAGAGGCCUGCGGUUGCAGAGAGCAGGAGUGCACUCAGCCUGGCUCAGGGUGUCACCAUGAUUGGAGCAACUGGAACAGGAGGGGUUUUUCACAGGGAGCACAGGGAUGAAUACACGGGAAGAAACAAUCAUCAGGAGAAGCAACAUACCAGAGUUCCUCAUUGCCGGUAUAAAGAGCAAGCACAGACAAAGAUGGAAUCGAAAGGAGCACUAUAGAACCUGCAGUUGGAGCCAAUUUCCCUCUUUCCCAGCCUUACGAGAGAUGAAGAACAGCUGCUUGCUGCCAUGUAUUAACUAAUUCUACCUAUUCUUUAAGACCAUUGUUAUAGAAGCUUAACUCCAAUUUUACAAGUCCUCUGGUUUUGCAAUGACUAUCGCAUUAUUUGCAUAUCUUUAGAGAAUUAAAUUUGAAUGACUGUAAGUCAGCCAAAGUAUCCUAUCAAAGUAUUUUCCAAAAAGGCGAUGGAAGAAAAACGUCCUACUAAAAGGUUUGGAGUCAUUUCAUUCAGAACAUGUGACUAAGUUCAGAUUU